This 505-nucleotide ribosomal RNA is filed under the name Furtadoella brasiliensis. RNAcentral's name for it is "SSU rRNA". It matches the Rfam family "Bacterial small subunit ribosomal RNA", at positions 407 to 948 of the family's 1533-position model. Lineage: Eukaryota; Fungi; Basidiomycota; Agaricomycetes; Polyporales; Polyporaceae. The record is from RNAcentral.
UCAUAGAAUUUAUUUAGAUUCAUGAUGUCGUAAGGGAAAAUAAUGAUACUACCUUACUAUGAGUGUCGUCCAAAACUGGUGCCAGAAGACUCGGUAAUACCAGAGACGCAAACGUUAAUCAUCUUAAACAGGCGUAAAGGGUUUGUAGGCAGCUUCCAUAAGAUAAUGAUUAAGAAAUAAAGUCGUCUAAUUGAAAGCUAGAAUCAAAAAGAGGUUAUAGUGUAUAACGCCUAGAGGAGGGCUGAUAUCCUUAGAUCCUGGGCAGAAUACUAAAAGCGAAGGCCACUCUCCACUAAUGAUUGACGCUGAGAAACGAAGGUUAGGGUAGGAAAUAGGAUUAGAUACCCCGGUACUCCUUUCUGUAAACGAUGAAUGGUAGUAAUUAGUCGAGAUUACUAGUUACGAAGUUAACACAAUAACCAUUCCGCCUUGUGAGUACUACUGCAAAGUAGAAAACAAAAAAAUUAGUCGGUCUCGAAGCAAACGGAGUGAAGCAUGUUAUUUA